UGAGCAUUGAGGACAGCCGACGAGAGAUUCCCGAGUACGUCCACAGUCAGCCUUGAGGUAAGCUUGUGCGCUCGGAGGAAUCCAGGGUAACAAUGGGGCAAACUGAAAGUAAAUAUGCUUCUUAUCUCAGCUUCAUUAAAAUUCUCUUAAGAAGAGGGGGAGUUAAAGCUUCUACAGAAAAUCUAGUUACGCUAUUUCAAGCAAUAGAACAAUUCCGCCCAUGGUUUCCAGAACAGGGAAUUUUAGAUUUAAAUGAUGGGGAAAAAAUUGGCAAAGAACUACAACAAGCAACUAGGGAAGGUAAGAUCAUCCCACUUACAGCAUGGAAUGAUUGGGCCAUUAUUAAAGCAAUUUUAGAACAAUUUCAAAUAGAAGAAGAUGGCGUUUCAGUCUUUGAUGCCCCUGAAAGCUGUGUAAUAGAUUGUGAAGAAGAGGCAGGAACAGACUUUAAGAAAGGAAUGGAAAGUACACAUUGUAAAAAUGCAGUAGAGCCUGUAAUGGUUCGGUCAAUGCAAAAUGUUGACUAUAAUCAAUUACAGGAGGUAAUGUAUCCUGAAUCAUCAAAAUUGGGAGAAGGAGUUCCAGAAUUAUUUGGGCCAUCAGAGUUUAGACCAAGAUGGCCACCAACCCCUUCUCCCGCGGUUCAGAUGCCUGUGAUGUCACAAUCUCAAAUGCCAAUCCAGGCACAGUAUCCGCAAUACCAGCCAGUAGAAAAUAAACCCAACCAUCGGUAGUUUAUCAACACCAGCCGCCAGCCGAAUUUCAGUAUCGGCCGUCUCCAGAGGUUCAGUAUGGAUCUCAGGAGGUGCGUCCUGUGCCAAAUAGCAAGGCACUAUAUCAACAACCCACGGCGAUGGCGUUUGAUCUUACAGUACCACCUAGUGGACAAGAUAGUGCACUGCAUGAGACCAUUGCUACAGCCAGAAAACAGGGAGAUCUUGAGGCAUGGCAAUAUCUGGUAAUGUUACAACCGAUGCCGGCCGGGAAAGGGAGUCAAGCAGGAGCGUCUGUCUGAACUGAGACCAGAUAUGAAUCUUUCACCACAAAAAUGUUAAAAGAUAUGAAGGAAGGAGUUAAACAAUAUGGACCUAACUCUCCUUAUAUGAGAACAUUAUUAGAUUCCAUUGCUCAUGGAAAUAGACUUAUUCCUUAUAAUUGGGAAAUUUUGGCUAAAUCUUCCCUUUCACCCUCUCAGUAUCUACAGUUUAAAACCUGGUGGAUUGAUGGGGUACAUGAACAGGUAUGAAAAAAUCAGGCUACUAAUCCUGUUGCUUAUAUAGAUGCAGACCAAUUACCAGGAACAGGUCCAAAUUGGGGCACUAUUAACCAACAAUCAGUAAUGCAAAAUGAGGCUACUGAACAACUAAGGGCUAUUUGCCUCAGGGCCUGGGAAAAGAUUCAGGACCCAGGAACCUCCUGCUCUGCUUUUAGUUCAAUCAGAUAAGGCUCUAAAGAUCCAUAUCCAGACUUUGUGGCAAGGUUGCAAGAUGCAGCUCAAAAAUCCAUUGCAGAUAAUAACGCCCGAAAAGUUACUGUAGAAAUAAUAGCUUAUCAAAAUGAAAAUCCAGAAUGUCAAUCGGCCAUAAAGCCAUUAAGAGGAAAGGUUUCAGCAGGAGUUGAUGUAAUUACAGAAUAUGUGAAGGCUUGUGAUGGGAUUGGAGGAGCUAUGCGUAAGGCAAUGUUAUUGGCUCAAGCAAUUACAGGGGUUGCUUUAGGAGGACAAGUUAAAACAUUUGGGGAAAAAUGUUAUAAUUGUGGUCAAAUCGGACAUCUAAAAAAGAAUUGCCUAGGCUUAAAUAAACAGAGCAAAAAAAAAAAAAAAAAAAGAGCCACCUGGCCUGUGUCCAAGAUGUGGAAAAGGAAAAUAUUGGGCUAAGGAAUGUCUUUCUAAAUUUGAUGAAAUUGGACAGCCAUUGUCGGGAAAUGGGAAGAGGGGCCAGCCCCAGGCCCCGCAACAAAGUGGGGCAUUCCCGAUUCAGCCAUUUGUUCCUCAGGGUUUUCAGGGACAACAACCCCCACAGUAAAUACCACCAUUUCAGGAAAUCAGCCAAUUACAACAAUACAACAACUAUCCCCUGCCACAGCAGGCAGCGCUGCAGUAGAUUUAUGUUCUGCUCAAAUGAUUUCUUUACUCCCUGGAGAGCCCCCGCAAAAGAUUCCUACAGGGGUAUAUGGCCCACUGCCAGAAGGGAUGGUAGGCCUUAUUUUAGGAAGAUCUAGUCUAAAUUUGAAAGGAGUUCAAAUUUAUACUGGGGUAAUUGACUCAGAUUAUAAAGGGGAAAUUCAGUUAGUGAUCAGCUCUACUGUUCCCUGGAGUGCCAAUCCAGGUGAUAGAAUUGCUCAAUUACUGCUCUUGCCUUAUAUUAAAAUUGGGGAUAACAAAACAGAAAGAACAGGAGGGUUUGGAAGUACCAACCCUGCUGGAAAAGCUGUUUAUUGGGCUAGUCAGCUCUCAGAGAAUAGACCUGUGUGUACAGUUACUAUUCAGGGAAAACAGUUUGAAGGAUUAGUGGAUACUGGGGCUGAUGUUUCUCUCAUUGCCUUAAAUCAAUGACCAAAAAAUCAGCCUAAACAAAAGCCUGUUACAGGACUUGUUGGUGUGGGCACUGCCUCAGAAGUGUAUCAAAGUGCCAGGAUUUUACAUCGUCUAGGACCUGAUAAUCAAGAGAGUACAGUUCAGCCUAUGAUUACUUCUAUUCCAAUUAAUUUAUGGGGCCAAGACUUAUUAGAACAGUGGCAUGCAGAGAUUACCAUUCCAGUCUCUCUAUACAGCCCCACGAGUCAAAAAAUCAUGACUAAAAUGGGAUAUCUCCCUGGCAAAGGACUAGGCAAAAAUGGAGAAGGCAUUAAAGUUCCAAUUGAGGCUAAGGGAAAUCCAGAAAGAAAAGGACUAAGGUAUCCUUCUUAAGGGUGGCCACUGUAGAGCCUCCAAAACCCAUUCCAUCAACUUGGAAAACAGAAAAGCCUAUAAAGGUAAAUCAGUGGCCACUACCAAAACAAAAGCUGGAAGCCUUACACUUACUGGCAAAAGAACAAUUGGAAAAGGGACAUAUUGAGCCUUCAUUUUCGCCUUGGAAUUCUCCUGUGUUUGUAAUUCAGAAAAAAACAGGCAGAUGACACAUGCUAACUGAUUUAAGAGCCGCUAAUGCAGUAAUUCAACCCAUGGGGCCUCUCCAACUUGGGCUGCCCUCUCCAGCCAUGAUCCCCAAAUAUUGGCCUUUAAUUAUAACUGAUCUGAAGGAUUGCUUUUUUACCAUUCCUCUGGCAAAACAGGAUUUUGAAAAAUUUGCUUUUACUAUACCAGCCAGAAAUAAUAAAGAACCAGCCACCAGAUUUCAUUGGAAAGUGUUGCCUCAGGGAAUGCUUAAUAGUCCAACUGUGUGUCAGACUUUUGUAGUUCAAGUUCUUCAACCAGUUAGAGACAAGUUUUCAGACUGUUAUAUCAUUCAUUAUGUUGAUGAUAUUUUGUGUGCUGCAGAAAUAAGAGACAAAUUAAUUGACGGUUACACAUUUCUGCAGACAGAGGUUGCAAAUGCAGGCCUGACAAUAGCAUCUGAUAAGAUUCAGACCUCCACUCGUUUUCAUUAUUUGGGAAUGCAGGUAGAGGAGAGAAAAAUUAAACCACAAAAAGUAGAAGUAAGAAAAGACACAUUAAGAACAUUAAAUGACUUUCAAAAAUUGCUAGGAGAUAUUAAUUGGAUUUGGCCAACUCUAGGCAUCCGUACUUAUGCCAUGUCAACUUUGUUCUCUAUCUUGAGAGGGGAUCCAGACUUAAAUAGUAAAAGAACAUUAACUCCAGGGGCAACUAAAGAAAUAGAAUUAGUUUAAGAAAAAAUUCAGUCAGCACAAGUAAAUAGAUCACUUAGCCCCACUCCAACUUUUAAUUUUUGCUACUGCACAUUCUCCAACAGGCAUUAUUGUUCAAAAUACAGAUCUAGUGGAGUUGUCAUUCCUUCCUCACAGUACGGUUAAGACUUUUACAUUGUACUUAGAUCAAAUGGGUACAUUAAUUGGUCAGGCAAGACUACGAAUAGUAAAAUUGUGUGGAAAUGACCCAGAUAAAAUCAUUGUUCCUUUAAAUAAGGAACAGGUUAGAGAAGCCUUUAUCAAUUCUGGCGCACGGAAGAUUAGUAUUGCUGAUUUUGUGGGAAUUAUUGACAAUCAUUACCCAAAAGCAAAAAUCUUCCAGUUUUUGAAAUUGACUACUUGGAUUUUACCUAAAAUUACCAGACAAAAACCUCCAGGAAAUGCUCUGACGGUGUUUACUGAUGGUUCCAGCAAUGGAAAAGCAGCUUACACUGGGCCAAAAGAACGAGUCACUGAAACUCAAUAUCACUCAGCUCAAAGAGCAGAAUUGGUUGCUGUCAUUUCAGUGUUACAAGAUUUUAAUCAGCCUAUUAACAUUGUUUCAGAUUCUGCAUAUGUAGUACAGGCUACAAAGGAUGUUGAGACAGCCCUAAUCAAAUAUAGUGUGGAUGAUCAGUUAAAUCAGCUGUUUAAAUUGUUACAACAAACUGUUAGAAAAAGAAGUUUCCCAUUUUAUAUUACUCAUAUUCGAGCACAUACUAAUGUACCAGGGACUUUAACUAAGGCAAAUGAACAAGCUGACUUGCUAGUAUCAUCUGCCUUCAUGGAAGCACAAGAACUUCAGGCCCUGACUCAUGUAAAUGCAACAGGAUUAAAAAACAAAUUUGAUAUCACAUGGAAACAAGCAAAAAAUAUUGUACAACAUUGUGCUCAGUGUCAAGUCUUACACCUGCCCACUCAAGAGGCAGGAGUUAAUCCUAGAGGUUUAUGUCCUGACGCAUUAUGGCAAAUGGACAUCACACAUGUACCUUCAUUUGGAAAACUGUCAUUUGUCCAUGUGACAGUUGAUACUUAUUCACAUUUCAUAUGGGCAACCUGCCAGACAGGAGAAAGUACUUCCCAUGUUAAAAGACAUUUAUUAUCUUGUUUUGCAGUCAUGGGAGUUCCAGAAAAAAUUAAAACAGAUAAUAGGCCAGGAUACUGUAGUAAAGCAUUUCGAAAAUUCUUAAAUCAGUGGAAAAUUACACAUACAACAGGAAUCCUUUGUAAUUCCCAAGGACGGGCCAUAAUUGAAAGAACUAAUAGAACACUCAAAGCUCAAUUGGUUAAACAAAAAAAGGAAAAAGACAGUAAGGAGUAUAACACUCCCCAGAUGCAACUUAAUCUAGCACGAUAUACUUUAAAUGUUUUAAAUAUAUAUAGAAAUCAGACCACUACUUCUGCAGAAUAACAUUUUACUGGUAAAAAGAACAGCCCACAUGAGGGAAAACUGAUUUGGUGGAAAGACAACAAAAACAAAACUUGGGAAAUAGGUAAGGUGAUGACAUGGGGGAGAGGUUUUGCUUGUGUUUCGCCAGGAGAAAAUCAGCUUCCUGUUUGGGUACCCACUAGACAUGUGAAGUUCUACAAUGAACCCAUCAGAGAUGCAAGGGAAGGCACCUCCGCAGAGACAGAGAACCCGCAAUCGAACAUCAUUGACUCGCAGGGUGAACAAAAUGGUGAUAUCAGAAGAACAGAUGAAGUUGCCAUCCACCAAGAAAGCGGGGCCGCCGACCUGGGCCCAGCUAAAGAAGCUGACACAGUUAGCUGAAAAAAGCCUGGAAAACACAAGGGUAACACAAACUCCAGAGAAUAAGCUGCUUGCAGCUUUAAUGAUUGUAUCAACGGUGGUAAGUCUCCCUAUGUCUGCAGGAGCUGCUACAGCUAACUAUACUUACUGGGCCUAUGUGCCUUUCCCACCCUUAAUUCGGGCAGUCACUUGGAUAGAUAAUCCUAUUGAAGUAUAUGUUAAUAACAGUGCAUGGGUACCAGGACCCACAGAUGACCGUGGCCCUGCCCAACCUGAAGAAGAAGGAAUGAUGAUAAACAUUUCCAUUGGGUAUCAUUAUCCUUCUAUUUGCCUGGGAAAAACACCAGGAUGCUUAAUGCCUACAAUCCAAAAUUGGUUGGUAGAAGAACCUACUGUCAGUGCCACCAGUAAAUUUACUUAUCAUAUGAUAAGUGGAAUGUCACUUGGGUCACAAAUGAAUAAUUUACAGAAUUCUUCCUAUCAAAGAUCAUUAAAAUUUAGGCCUAAAUGGAAACCAUGCCAGAAGGAAAUUCCAGAAGAAUCAAAAGACCCAGAAGUCUUAGUUUGGGAAGAAUGUGUGGCUGAUACUGCAGUGGUACUACAAAACAAUAAAUUCAGAAUUAUUAUAGACUGGGCCCCUCGAGGCCAAUUAUAUUAUGACUGUAUGGGCCAGACCCACUCAUGUUCACAGGCUCCAUCUGUCUGGCCCACUAAUCUGGCCUACGAUGGUGACUUAACUAAAAGGCUAGACCAGGUUUAUAGAAGGCUAGAAUCACCCUAUCCAUGGAAAUGGGGUGAAAAGGGGAUUCCAUCACCCCGACCAAAGUUAGUUAGUCCUGUUGUUGGUCCUGAACACCCAGAAUUAUGAAAGCUCACUGUGGCCUCGUACCACAUUAGAAUUUGGUCUGGAAAUCAAGUUAUGGGAACAAGAAAUCAUAAGCCAUAUUAUACUAUUAACCUAAAUUCCAAUCUGACAAUUCCUUUGCAAAGUUGUGUAAAACCCCCUUAUAUGUUAGUUGUAGGAAACAUAGCUAUUAAACCAGAUUCCCAAACUAUAAGCUGUGAAAAUUGUAGAUUGUUUACUUGCAUUGAUUCAACUUUUGACUGACAGCAUGGUAUUCUGUUAGUAAGGGCAAGAGAAGGCGUGUGGAUCCCUGUGUCCAUGGGUCGACGGUGGGAGGCUUCUCCAUCCGUACAUAUCUUAACAGAAGUAGUAAAAGGAGUUCUAACUAGAUCUAAAAGAUUCAUUUUUACUCUGAUUGCAGUGAUUAUGGGUCUUAUUGCAGUCACAGCUACUGCUGCGGCUGCUGGAAUUGCUUUACACUCCUCUGUUCAAACUGCAGAAUAUGUGAAUAAUUGGCAAAAGAAUUCCUCAAAAUUGUGGAAUUCUCAGACUCAAAUAGAUCAAAAAUUGGCAAAUCAAAUUAAUGAUCUUAGACAAACUGUUAUUUGGAUAAGAGAUAGGCUCAUGAGCUUGGAAUAUCUUUUUCAGUUACAGUGUGACUGGAAUACGUCAGAUUUUUGUAUUAGACCUCGAGCCUAUAAUGAAUCUGAACAUCACUGGGACAUGGUUAGAUGCCAUCUACAAGGAAGAGAAGAUAAUCUUACCUUAGAUAUUUCUAAAUUGAAAGAACAAAUUUUUGAAACAUCAAAAGCCCAGUUAAAUCUGGUGCCAGAAACUGAGGCAAUGGUAAAAGCUGUUGACAGCCUCACAAAUCUUAACCCUAUCACUUGGGUUAAAACCAUUGGAAAUUCCACUAUUGCAAAUUUUGUAUUAAUUCUUGUAUGUCUGUCCUCUCUAUUGUUAGUCUACAGAGGUAUAUCCAGCAGCUCCGGAGAGACAGCGACCAGCGAGAAUGGGCCAUGAUGACGAUGGCGGUUUUGUCAAAAAGAAAAGGGGGAAAUGCAGGGAAAAGAAAGAGAGAUCAGACUGUCACAGUGUCUAUGUAGAAAAGGAAGACAUAAGAGUCUCCAUUUUGAAAAAGACGUGUACUUUAAACAAUUGCUUUGCUUAGAUAUUGUUAAUUUGUAGCCUUGCCCCAGCCACUUUGCUCCAGCCACUUUGACCCAACUUGAAACUCACAAAAACAUGUGUUGUAUAAAAUCAAGGUUUAAGGGAUCUAGGGCUGUGCAGGAAGUGCCUUGUUAACAAAAUGUUUACAAGCAGUAUACUUGGUAAAAGUCAUCGCCAUUCUCUAGUCUCAACAAACCAAGGGCACAAUGUACUGUGGAAAGCCAGAGGGACCUCUGCCCUUGAGAGCAGGGUAUUGUCCAAGGUUUCUCCCCAUGUGAUAGUCUGAAAUAUGGCCUCAUGGGAUGAGAAAGACCUGACUGUCCCCCAGCCCGAUACCUUAAAGGGUCUGUGCUGAGGUGGAUUAGUAAAAGAGGAAAGCCUCUUGCAGUUGAGAUGGAGGAAGGCCACUGUCUCCUGCUUGCCCCUGGGAACUGAAUGUCUCGCUGUGAAGCCCGAUUGUACAUUUGUUCAACUCUGAGAUAGGAGAAAAGCUGCCCUGUGGCGGGAGGCGAGACAUGUUUGCAGCAAUGCUGCCAUGUUCUUUACUCCACUGAGAUGUUUGGGUGGAGAGAAGCAUGAAUCUGGCCUACAUGCACGUCCAGGCAUAGUACCUUCCCUUGAACUUAAUUAUGAUAUAGAUUCUUUUGCUCACAUAUUUCUUGUUGGUCUUCUCCUUAUUAUCACCCUGCUCUCCUACUACAUUUCUUUUUGCUGAAAUAAUGAAAAUCAUAAUCAAUAAAAACUGAGGGAACUCAGAGGCCGGUGCCAGUGCACGUCCUUUAUGUGCUGAGUGUCUGUCCCCUGGAACCACUGUUGUUUCUCUAUACUUUGACUCUGUGUCUUAUUUCUUUUCUCUGUCACUCAUCCCACCCGACUAGAAAUACCCACAGGGGUGGAGGGGCAGGCCACCCCUUCAAUUUGGUGACACAUAGCCUGUGCCCUCAAAGAACACUGACACCCCGGUAACAUCCAUUCAAAGAGUUUCUCUGUACCUCCCCUCCUUUAUCCCCAAGGUCACUGGGUCAGAGCUCACGGAGUCAUUCACAACAUGAUGUUUAACACCGAGACGCUCUGGAAUUACUCCUUCAAGACGACUCAGAAGAAGACCCAUUGCUGAGACAAUCAUGUUCUCUCUCUCUCUGGAUCACCACCCAGAGACAAGGACUGCCAGAGACCCUGGCUUCCACAGCUGCUGCCUCUCAUUCCUGCACCUGUGGGAUGAGAGUUCGAAGCUGUGUGACCUUGACCAAGUUACUUACCCUCUCUAAGCAUAUGUUUCCCUAAAUGUGAAAUAGGGAUGAUGGUGAUGUGUUUAUUUCACAGAUUUGAUAGAAGGAUUAAAUGAGAGAUGCAUCAAAAGCAGUAGGCACAGGGUCAAUGCUCAGUGAGCUUUCUCUUUUCUUAUCAAUAGACAGGUCUCCAUGAGGACAGAAACUGGCUUCAUCUCGACUGUAGCGUCAGGGUUGGCCACAGUGUCUGCACCCAGCAGGACUUCAGUAAAUAUCUGUUUAUACACUAACCACAGACUUAGGCAUAAAAGCCCUUUGGAAAAAAGUUGACCAUUUCAUGCACCUUCAGACUAUGAAGAGCAGUGAUGACAACUUUAGCUUGAGAGGCUCUCAGUGCCCAUUCAUCACCGCUGUGAAAAGGCAGAAACCAGAGCUGUGUGUUUAACUCCCAGGCCCAAAAUCUGUUGGCCUUGCUUUAUCACUAUGAACUUCCAAUGCCAUCCCUUUAGAAUGCGACCUCUCUCUUCUUCCCCAAGGCACUAGCCUUCACCCCAGACCUAUCCUUAUUAGCUGGUGCCUCCUCUCUGUACUCUGAGCCCAUGCUGUGCUCGUCAGAUAGCAACAUGGGAGAAUACAGCAGCCCAGAAUGCAGGCUGCAGAGUUAGAUCCCCAGAACAGGAUCUCAGCCGGUUCCAUCCUUCCUUAGCUGGGCGACCGUGGCCAUUGACUUGCUCUCUGUGCCUGAGUUGCUCCAUCUGUGAAAUGAUGAUUAUCAUAGUCCCUGCUUCAAAGAGUCACUGGGAGGAUUAACAGAAAAUGCAGGGAAGGUGCUUGGAAAUAAAUGCUCAAAAAAAGUCCAUGUGGCCAGGCACGGUGUCUCACACCUGUAAUCUCAGCACUUUGGGAGACUGAGGCAGGUGGAUCUGUUGAGGUCAGGAAUUCAAGACCAGCCUUGUCAACAUGGCAAAACCCCGACUCUACUAAAAACACAAAAAUUAGUCAGGCAUGGUGGCAGGCACCUGUAAUUCCAGCUACUUGGGAGGCUGAGGCAUGAGAAUCUCUUGAACCUGGGAGUCAGAGGUUGCAGUGAGCCGAGAUGGUGCCACUGCACUCCAGCAUGGGCAACAAGAGUGAAACUGUCUCAAAAAAAAAAAAAAAAAAAAGUCCAUCAUUCUUAUUAAUGGAGGCCAAAUCAUCUCAGCGCUUCUUUGGCUGAUCAGUACCCUCCAAGCCAGUGUUAUCCAAUAGACCAGAGGUCCCCAUCCCCCAGACCACAGACCAGUAGCGGUCUGUGGCCUGUUAGGAACUGGGCUGCACAGAAGGAGGUGAGCAGUGGACUAGUGAGUGAAGCUUCAUCUGUAUUUACAGCAGCUCCUCAUGGCUAGCGUUACUGCCUGAGCUCUGUCUCCUGUCAGAUCAGCAGUGGCAUUAGAUUCUGAUAGGAGCACCAACCCUAUUAUAAACUGCAUGUGGAAGUGAUCUAGGUUGUGUGCUCCUUAUGAGAAUCUAAUGCCUGAUGAUCUGUCACUGUUUCCCACCACCUAGAGAUGGAAUUAUCCAGUUGCAGGAAAACAAGUGCAGGGCUCCCACUGAUUCUACAUUGUGGUGAGUUGUAUAAGGAUUUCAUUAUAUAUUAUAAUGUUAAUAACAAUAGAAAUAAAGUACACAAUAAAUGUAAUGCACUUGAAUCAUCCUGAAAUUUCCCCCCACAAAUACAUGGAAACUGGUCCUUGGUGCUAAAAAAAAUUGGGGACCACUGCACUAGACUAUUCAGUCACGGUCCAAUCAAACAUUCUGCAAUGGCGGGCUUGCUCUACUCUGCACUGUCCAACAUGGGAGCUGCUAGCCACCCACAUGGGCUGUUGAGCCCUUGAAAUGUGGCUAGUGAGAAUGAAGAGCUGAAAUUUCAAUUUUCUCUUAACUAUUUUUUUUUUUUUUUUUUGAGACAGAGUCUCACUCUGUCCUCCAGGCUGGAGUGUAGUGGUGCAAUCUCAUCUCACUGCAACCUCCAUCUCCCGGGUUCAAGCAGUUCUCCUGCCUCAGCCUCCUGAGUAGCCAGGAUUACAGGAACGCGCCAUCAUGCCCGGCUAAUUUUUGUAUUUUUGUAGAGACGAGAUUUCACCAUGUUGGCCAGGCUGAUCUUGAACGCCUGACCUCAGGUGAUCUGCCCAACUUGGCCUCCCAAAAUGCUGGGAUUACAGGUGUGAGCCAACAUGCCCGGCCUUAAUUAAUUUCUAAAUCACAAAAUCUAAACAACAAGUGGCUAGGAGCUACCAUAGUGUACAAGGCAGCUGUGGAAUCACAGGAAAUUGUCAAUGACCCUGUCCUGCUUCAAGUUGACUUUUCCCCCUCAUGGUGAGACUCUAGAUUCUUUCCUCUUCUCUCACAUUUUUUAGACUUUUAGGAUUAGACCAUGAAAAUAAGUUCUGUCCUUCCAAGAAAAUAACGUCCAUAACAAUUUCUGUAUACCAGGAUGAUUUCAGUGCUUUACAUGUAUUAAUUUACAACUACUUUGAGGCAGGAGCUAUGAUUAUGCCCAUUUAACAGAUGACAAAACUGAGGCACAAAGCGGUGCUGGAACUUCUCAAAGUCACACAGGUAGCAGGAGGCAGAGCUCGGAUUUGAACUCACUAUGGGUUCAGCAACUCACAGCUCUCAUCUAUGACAUAAUAUUACUUCUGUGGUCAAAACGCUUAGAUCUGGAUUUCACAGGAAUCUUGUGCUUGCCUGGCUGCUAGGGAGGUUUUCAUCAUCUUCCUUAUCUCACAGUUCAAAACCCAGGGCCUCCAUGCUCUUGCUAUGGUGGCCGUUCACUGGCAGGAGGCUUCUGGGAAGGUUCUCCUUUUCUGUCAUUUUUCUUAUUCGUGGUUUUUUGUCUCAUUGGUGUUUAUCUGCAGAACUUUGUUUCCUUCUGCUCAAUUCAUAAUCAGAGUGCUUUUCCUCCUGGCUGAAUUCAUAAGUGUUUGUGCAAAAAGAGGUUGGCGCAGAGCCAGGUGACUGACGACACCCAGCUCAUCUGGCAAGUGGAUAUCAAAUUGUUGUAUCUCGUUCUGCCAUUCACAGCUCCGCCGUGGGGCUGGGUCAUCUGCCAGCUCUCCAAGGAGCUGGUGGGAAACCACUGAAAUCAGAGCGAACCCACGGCCCGGGUGAGCCCGCCUUGGCACAGCACUCCAGCUGACCCCCAGUGCCUUUUGGGAACAAAUCUGCAUUGCCAGGCAGGGCUGUGGGAGGGCCGCCUGCCUCCUGUCCAUCACAGAGAAAACCUACCCUUGUCCCGCGUCCCUUCUAGGCAGCCUGUGUGGGGAUUGCUGCAUUCACCUUUAAUAUGGCUAAAAUGUUUUCCUUCAAUGACAGUAAUGCUGCCAGAACCCAUCAAGACACCCAGGAACUGAUGUGCCUUGGCAGAUGAUGCUGGAAAGAUGGGAUUCCCGGCAGCCUUUGCAUCUGUUGCUCACAGCCCACGAGCAUCUCCACCGUCCAGCAGGGGAACAAAGCGGCAUCAUUCCAUUAUUCCAGGGGAGGUGCUAAAUACAAGGGUGAGGCUGUCAAGCGGUCCCUGGUGGAGUCCUACAUUCACCCAAACAGCAACGAGACAGAGCGGAGGGGAACAUCGAUACUGUCAUGAACUGGUUCACCUAGGAAGACUUUGACUUUGUGACUCUGUGCUACAGAGAGCCAGAUAACGUGGGACAUCGAUUUGGGCCAGAGGCAGAGAACAGGAAGUUGAUGAUUCAGCAAAUCGACAGGACCAUCGGGUAUCUGGUGGGAGCCACUGAGAAGCACAGCCUGCAGAGCACCUCAGCAUCAUCAUCACAUGAGACCAUGGGAUGACCACCGUGAAGAAGAGACCCAAUGUCAACAAGAUCCCUUGUCCAACUACAUCAAGUUCAGGAACUUGGUCAAGUUUGAUAUUGUGGGCUACGGUGGCUUUGGGAUGCCCCUACCCAAAUUGGGGCAAGAGGAAACCCUUUACCAGGCACUGAAGAAUGCAUACCCUCACCUCCACAUCUUCAAGAAGGAGGAGUUUCCAGAGCAUUUCCAUCUUGCUAAACAUGACCAGGUUCUGCCAAUCGUGAUGUAUGCCAACUCUGGUUACAGUAUCAAUGGGAGAAUUAUAAUGUGUUUCAACAAAGGCAGCCGUGGCUUUGAUAAUGUCCUCAUGGAUAUGAGACCAUAUUCAGAGCUUUCGGGCCAGAUUUCAAGAGGAAUCGCCUGGCCGAGCCUUUUAAUGGCAUCCACAUCUACCCAUUCAUGUGUAAGCUCCUGGGAGUCACCCCCAAACCCACAACAGCUCCCUGGCAGUCACCCAGGAAAUGCUCGUGAACUCCUAUGUCCAGCAGCCAGGCAGAGAGCUGAUCAAAACAGCAAAAGCAAAGCAGUGCCCCUGGCCCAGUUCUGAAGCCAACCUUCCUUAACCACGCAGACCCAUCCCUGGUUAGGACUUGCUGUGGAUUCUCAGGUGACUCCAUCUCAGGAUACAGGGACUGAGAGGGUAUAUGCAAUAUCUCAGACCCAGAAACCGUUGAUUCUGUCUAAAAGCACAGCAAUAACCACAUCCCACCCUCUUGAUUUAAAUGAAAGUGUUUGGGAGAAUAAAAGAUGAACCUUU
Molecule: non-coding RNA, 13448 nt
Organism: Homo sapiens (human)
Lineage: Eukaryota; Metazoa; Chordata; Mammalia; Primates; Hominidae
Source: RefSeq, a predicted model, not a curated record